GCCAAACCAGUAUUAGAAGUAACGCCUGCCCUGUGGAACCCUAAACGGCCGCGGCACAAAACCGUGCAAAGGUAGCACAAUCACUUGUCCCCUAAAUGAGGACCCGUAUGAAAGGCAACAUGAGAGAAAACCUGUCUCCUAAGGUCCGCCAAUGAAAUUGAUCUAUCAGUACAAAAGCUGAUAUAACUAAGCAAGACAAAAAGACCCUAUGGAACUUUAACAAAUUGCUUAUACACAAUAAACAAUAGUUUCAGUUGGGAUAACUUUAGAAAAAAUAAACCUCUAAUAACAUCUAGACCAACUAGUCCAGACUACCACAUAUGACCCAGUAAUACUGAAUAACGAAACAAGCUACCCUAGGGAUAACAGCGCCACCUUCUCAAAGAGUCCAUAUCAACAAGAAGAUCUACGACCUCGAUGUUGGAUCAGGGUACCCAGACGGUGCAGCAGCUGUCAAAGGUUCGUUUGUUCAACGACUAACACCCUACGUGAUCUGAGUUCAGACCGGAGCAAUCCAGGUCGGUUUCUAU
Molecule: ribosomal RNA, 530 nt
Filed under: Chamaeleo africanus (African chameleon)
Lineage: Eukaryota; Metazoa; Chordata; Lepidosauria; Squamata; Chamaeleonidae
Description: partial 16S ribosomal RNA
Rfam family: Bacterial large subunit ribosomal RNA
Source: RNAcentral